GAAUGCUGACAUAAGUAACGAUAAAGCGGGUGAAAAGCCCGCUCGCCGGAAGACCAAGGGUUCCUGUCCAACGUUAAUCGGGGCAGGGUGAGUCGACCCCUAAGGCGAGGCCGAAAGGCGUAGUCGAUGGGAAACGGGUUAAUAUUCCCGUACUUGGUGUUACUGCGAAGGGGGGACGGAGAAGGCUAUGUUGGCCGGGCGACGGUUGUCCCGGUUUAAGCGUGUAGGUGUGUGUUCCAGGUAAAUCCGGUUCACUUUAACACUGAGGCGUGACGACGAGGCACUACGGUGCUGAAGCAACAAAUGCCCUGCUUCCAGGAAAAGCCUCUAAGCAUCAGGUAACAUCAAAUCGUACCCCAAACCGACACAGGUGGUCAGGUAGAGAAUACCAAGGCGCUUGAGAGAACUCGGGUGAAGGAACUAGGCAAAAUGGUGCCGUAACUUCGGGAGAAGGCACGCUGACACGUAGGUGAAGUGAUUUACUCAUGGAGCUGAAGUCAGUCGAAGAUACCAGCUGGCUGCAACUGUUUAUUAAAAACACAGCACUGUGCAAACACGAAAGUGGACGUAUACGGUGUGACGCCUGCCCGGUGCCGGAAGGUUAAUUGAUGGGGUCAGCGCAAGCGAAGCUCCUGAUCGAAGCCCCGGUAAACGGCGGCCGUAACUAUAACGGUCCUAAGGUAGCGAAAUUCCUUGUCGGGUAAGUUCCGACCUGCACGAAUGGCGUAAUGAUGGCCAGGCUGUCUCCACCCGAGACUCAGUGAAAUUGAACUCGCUGUGAAGAUGCAGUGUACCCGCGGCAAGACGGAAAGACCCCGUGAACCUUUACUAUAGCUUGACACUGAACAUUGAGCCUUGAUGUGUAGGAUAGGUGGGAGGCUUUGAAGCGUGGAC
Molecule: ribosomal RNA, 894 nt
Filed under: Salmonella enterica
Lineage: Bacteria; Pseudomonadati; Pseudomonadota; Gammaproteobacteria; Enterobacterales; Enterobacteriaceae
Also listed under: 2 other names
Description: partial 23S ribosomal RNA
Rfam family: Bacterial large subunit ribosomal RNA
Source: RNAcentral